CUUUAUUACAAAGUUCGAAACUAUAUUCAGAAAAGAAUAUUUAUAUAUUCUUCUUCCUGCGUUUAUGAAUUGCUACUAUUGUUGUUCAGAAAUAGACAACAUAACAACUGGGAUUAUUUAUUUCAUCAAUGAUGGUCUUGAUCAUUUAGAAAGCUUCAAAUGGGUUUCUUUCCACAUGAGAAAACAUCAAAUUCAAGAAGAGUCUAGCUUAACUUUCACAUUUUCACCUAAGAAUAAGCUUGGAUAAGGUGGUUUUGGUCCUGUUUAUAAGGGUAACCUUCUUGGAGGACAAGAAACUGCCAUGAAGAGGUUGCAAGAGUUCAGAAACGAGGUUAUGGUGAUUGCUAAACUGCAACAUCGGAAUCUUGUUAGACUUUUGGGGUAUUGUGUCAGAGGAGAUGAAAAGAUUCUACUCUACGAAUACAUGCCAAAUAGAAGCCUGGAUUCAAUUCUAUUUGGCAUGGGGUUUAUGGAUGGAAGAUAAGCCACAUGAGUUGAUGGAUCCAACACUGAUGGACUCAUGCACUCCAAGUGAUAUGUUGAAGUGUAUAAAUGUGGGACCCAUAUGUGUACAAGGACAACCUUAUUAACAUCCUACAUGGAAAACAUGUUUUUAACACUACUACACAAGUGAUUUAAUAAUGCGACCCAUUUUUUAUUUUUGAGGCGGUUGAUAGUAAAAACCGCCUCAUCAAAUGUAUAAAGCAUUAAAUAAUCCAAUAACCGCUUUAAAAAAAAGCACCGGAUAAAUUCUGAAAAGUUUUUGUUAAGGCGGUUAAAAAUAAAUAGCAUCAAAAAAAGAUUUUUUAGUGCUGCUUCAUGUAACAACAUCAUUAAAUAAGGAUUUUUUGAUGCUCUUUUUAUAAAAGAGCAUCAUUAAAUCUUUAUCUUUUAAUGCUAUAUUUUAAAAAACGCAUCAAAUGAAAACACUUUGAUUUUUUAGUGCUACUUCAUUGUAAAAGCAUUAUUAAAUCUUUAUCUUUUGAUGCUAUAUUUUGAAAAAAAAAACAUCAAAUGAAAACCAGCUAUAUCUGUCUUUUAGGGUUUCUGUAAACUCUAACAUACUUCGAACUUUUAGAACAUGAAGAUUCUCUGCAUUUAUGAAACAUAAACAUAAAUGCGUAAUAACUCAAAAUACCCUUAUUAAUUGUUUUGCUAUCUUCACUAAAGGUAAUUUUAAUUUUAUUGUACUUUUGCUUUUAUUCUAAGUAUUUAUUUAUUAAAUGAUUGUUUAUUGAUAUUUUUUAAAUUGAUUAGUGUAGACUGUGAACAUGUGAAAAUUUUCAUAACUUGUUUGUUUAGAAUCAAUAUAUUUACCUUCUUUGAAUGUUUAUUUUAAUUUUCAGAUGAAUCGUGAUUAUUGGAUGUACAACACUUCAUGUUUUUCUCAAUUUUAUAUAGAGGGUGUUCAAACUUUUAUUAGGGUUGCCGAAGAAAAUCGCUUAGAAAAAGGAAGUGGAUCGAUUUGUUGUCCUUGUAACGUUUGUAAAAACUUUAAAACGUUUAAUUGUACCGAAGAAAUAGAGUAUCAUUUGUUGCAAAAUGGUUUUGUGCGUAAUUACACUUGUUGGUCAAGACAUGGAGAAACACUACUUGAUUGUAGUACAUCCUCGACCAAUUUACAUAUUAAUAAUAGUACAUGCAACAAAGAUUCAUAUGUUGUUGAUGAUGAUCACCAGUCAAAUGAUCCCAAUGACAACUUCAAUGAAAUGUUCGAUGACAUGGAGGCUAAUAUAGGUGAUGUUGAACAAGAAAAAUUACAUGGCCUAUUUGAAGAAGCAGAAACACCGUUAUAUAGCGGUUGCAAAUUUAUGAAACUUGAUGUUGUAUUGAGGUUGAUGAACUUAAAGUCGAAAAACGGAUGGAGUGAUAAAAGUUUCACAAGUCUAUUAGUGUGUUUGCAUGACAUUCUUCCGGAAGACAAUGCAUUACCCAUUUCUACAUA
Molecule: long non-coding RNA, 1945 nt
Organism: Lactuca sativa (garden lettuce)
Lineage: Eukaryota; Viridiplantae; Streptophyta; Magnoliopsida; Asterales; Asteraceae
Source: RefSeq, a predicted model, not a curated record